GAAACCAACAGGGAUUACCUCAGUAACGGCGAGUGAAGCGGUAACAGCUCAAAUUUGAAAGCUGGCUCUUUUAGGGUCCGCAUUGUAAUUUGUAGAAGAUGCUUCGGGUGUGGCCCCGGUCUAAGUUCCUUGGAACAGGACGUCAUAGAGGGUGAGAAUCCCGUAUGUGACUGGGUGCUUUCGCUCAUGUGAAGCUCUUUCGACGAGUCGAGUUGUUUGGGAAUGCAGCUCAAAAUGGGUGGUAAAUUUCAUCUAAAGCUAAAUAUUGGCCAGAGACCGAUAGCGCACAAGUAGAGUGAUCGAAAGAUGAAAAGCACUUUGGAAAGAGAGUUAAACAGUACGUGAAAUUGUUGAAAGGGAAGCGCUUGCAACCAGACUUGCGCGCUGAUGAUCAUCCGGGCUUCUGUCCGGUGCACUCGUCUGCGCUCAGGCCAGCAUCGGUUUCGGUGGUGGGAUAAAGGCCUUGGGAAUGUGGCUCCUCUCGGGGAGUGUUAUAGCCCUCGGUGCAAUGCCGCCUACUGGGACCGAGGACCGCGCUUCGGCUAGGAUGCUGGCGUAAUGGUUGUAAGCGACCCGUCUUGAAACACGGACCAAGGAGUCUAACAUCUAUGCGAGUGUUUGGGUGUCAAACCCAUACGCGUAAUGAAAGUGAACGGAGGUGAGAACCCUUAAGGGUGCAUCAUCGACCGAUCCUGAUGUCUUCGGAUGGAUUUGAGUAAGAGCAUAGCUGUUGGGACCCGAAAGAUGGUGAACUAUGCGUGAAUAGGGUGAAGCCAGAGGAAACUCUGGUGGAGGCUCGCAGCGGUUCUGACGUGCAAAUCGAUCGUCAAAUUUGCGUAUAGGGGCGAAAGACUAAUCGAACCAUCU
RNAcentral lists this ribosomal RNA (867 nucleotides) under Collembolispora barbata. Its description in RNAcentral is "eukaryotic LSU rRNA". It matches the Rfam family "Eukaryotic large subunit ribosomal RNA", at positions 61 to 945 of the family's 3401-position model. Lineage: Eukaryota; Fungi; Ascomycota; Leotiomycetes; Helotiales. The record is from RNAcentral.